GCCUCGAGCCAUCAUGCCUGGCUAAUUUUUGCAUUUUUUGUAGAGAUGGGGGUCUCACAGUGUUGUCCAGGCUGGUCUUAAACUCCUUGCUUCAAUAGAUCCUCACACUCCAGCCUCCCAAAAUGUGAUUACAGGCUGAGUCACCACGCCCAGCAUGGUUUGUUUUUUUUUUUUUGUAAGCAAAAUUGACGUACAUACUGGAGGUACAAUUCUGUAGCUGGCCUUCUUUACAGAGUUUAGAAUAAAUGUCUUUCCAUGUCAAGUUUUCAUUUACAUCCUUUGUAAUAGUUGCAAAAUAUUCCAUUUUAUAGCUGUAUCUUAAUUGUGGAUUAAGGUUGGAGUGCAGUGGCACUAUCAUGGCUUAGUCCAGCCUCAGCCUUCUAGGUUCAAGUAAUCUUCCCACCUCAGCCUCCCAAGAAGCUAGGACUACAGGGACCCACCACCACACCUAGCUAAUUAAAAAAAAAAAUUGUAGAGAUGGAGUCUCAGUGUGUAGCCCAGUCUCAAGUGACCCUCCCUCCUUGGCCUCCCAAAGUGCUGAGAUUGCUGGAAGAGUGUCUUCAUCUCUGCAUCCCUAGUGCAACAGAGCAUGAUAAAAAUUCAAUAAAUAUUUAUUGCAGAGUCUUGAUGUCUUUUGGGAAAGGAACUCUAUGGUUACCUUUACUCUAAGAUUAGAAGGGUGUUACUGAUUCUUACCUCAGAGAAGAGAAUGUCAUGGAGACAAAAUGACCUGCUUAGAGUUCUGCGCCCCCCAGCAUGGAGAGCAGAGCGCAAAGAUUUCCUCCAGACUCCCACAUUCUCCCUUGGAAUCCAAGAACUUGUCUACUAUCACAACACUUUAGUACCCACUUCUCCUAAGGAGGCAGCAGAAACCAAGGUAAUCACAAUGGUCAACAGCAGCGAAGGCAGCACUUUC
This 916-nucleotide non-coding RNA is filed under the name Pongo abelii (Sumatran orangutan). The record is from RNAcentral. Lineage: Eukaryota; Metazoa; Chordata; Mammalia; Primates; Hominidae.